GAAACUUGGCAGGCAGGGGCUCUGGGCGUUAGGAUCUGGGUUAGGGCUGGGGGACGCCCCGCCACGCCCAACCGAGCAUGUUCCUGCCCCGGCCAGGCCCGGUCCGCUGGAGUCUGGGGUCUGGCCUCCCAGGCCAACAGCAUUCCUGGGGUGGGGACCUUUGUCGCAUGCAUCCCCAGGCCUGAGGAGGGUCAUAUAAUGUCUGGACGGAGCCGCUGGGGGGCUGGAGGGACAUGGGGUGGGCAGGCACAGCUGGGUUCUCAGGGAAGCACGAAAACCCAGAAUGAGGCCUUGAGAUGGGUUGAAGGCCCGCACUUUGCCAUCGACACUGACCCAGCGCCCUUCUCUGCUCCGCCGUCCGCCUGACUGCCCGGAGCCUGAGCGGGGCUAGAGCGAGCCCCACCCGGACUCUCCCGGGAGCGGACCGAAGCCCGCAGUCCGCACGCUUUGCUCGUGGUACUCAGGUGCUCUGGUGGGCUCGUCCAUAGGGACCAUGUGGCCUCCCCUAGCCCAGGUGAUGGCCGAGCCCUUGGUGUGUCGCCGGGAGGCCGUCUAGGAACCGCCCUUCUCCCGAGUCAGCCAUAAGCCCCCAAAACCCAGUCUGCAAGGCCUGAAGCCCACAUGGGGUUUCUGAGACUCCAGAGUCUAGGAGGGGCCUUUGGGCCCUUGAGGGCUUAUGUCCCACCCCGCGGCGGCCACAAGCUCUGGUUACUCUUGUGGUGCCUCCCUGCGCAGGGCCUGUCAGGUGGGAGGCACAUGGGGUUUCCUGCCUGGGGUUCAGGUCUGUGUGCAAGGGGACAUGCCGAUGCCAGUCCGAGCUGUCCCAGGAGGCACCCGUGUUCAAGCCAGCAGUGAGAGGGACCUGGGAGGCUUGUCAUGGGUGACAAGCAGCAGGACCUUAAAAAAACGGAAGCUGCUCCACUCCCAAGUCCGCUGGAGUGACCCCGUAUCCUGUGUGGGUCAGGAACACAGGGUGCCCUGAUAGAAAAUCUGCAUCCUGGGGAGCUCCCUGGAGGAGGCUGGCUCCGGGCCUGCCUUGCGGGGAGACCCCAGCCCUGCCCAUGACCGGAGCAGCCCACAGGGCAGAGUAGGAGGCAGCCGGUUCCCAUGCCCCUUCUAGAGCGGCCCUCCCCCACCCCUGGACCCCGUGGCCACCAGCUCCCCACCUGGCUGGCCAACCUCUUUUUCUCCUGGGAGAGCUCAGCCUCGGCUUCGGGGCCACCGACGCAGGACUUGCCUCCCUGCCAGAGUCACUGCAGGGACACCAAGAAAGCAAACCUAGUGCUUUUCCAACACCUAACAGUGGAAGUGGAGAAAGAGAAGGGAGGUCAGCUAGAAAGUUCUGGAACGCGGUCUACCAGAGGAGCCUGUUUCCCAAUGAAAGAGGAGGCUGCGGGGAAGCUGAGGAAUCUGCGAGGGCAGAGCCCACGUGACCCCGGGGUUGGCCCGGCAGUGGGUCCCGGGUCCCCUUUCUGCACGGCUGGGCCACCCUACAGGAGAGACCUGGGGACAGGACUGGGGACGUCGCUGCAGCCACGGCAGCUCCCCUCUUGUUCAGUUAGCCGGUCCUCCCAGAGGGCAGGGGCCAUGGCUGGUGAGCGGACAGCUGCCUGCCUGCUGGCGGAGGCGGCCGGGCCCCGCGGGCACUGCUCUUCCUGCGCCCGGCGGCGUGCCCCGUUCUCAGGGGAAAGGCCCUCUCGAGAGCUGCUCUGAAAGGCUUCCCGAGCGGCCGGACCAGCUAAUGAGUUAUUUGCUCUAAACAAUGUCUUGAUAAAGGGGACGGAGGGAGUUAGCCCGUGUUGACGAAGGAGACGCAGGGUUGCCAGGGAAAUGCUCCUAAGUGGACAGAAAGAAAAGACAGUCGCCGCGUCCUGUCUGACUAGGAAAAAGGCCGCGGAGCGCGCACCUCUGGCCGGCUUUUGUGUUUGUGUUUGGAAGAGACAGGCGGCCGCGAGCGUGGGGCCGCGGCGAGGACGCCCACAAAGCAGAUGUGUGCGGAGCCCGCGGCGGCCGGGGCCCAGGUGGCCGGCUGGGCGCUCGCCCCGGGAGUCGGCGCAGAGGGGCCCCCGGGCCAGGGCACGGGGGGCGCGAGGGGCUCCCGGUGGCGGCGGAGUCGGAGUCGGAGAGCGGCCGGAUGGAGCCCUGCAGCGCUCCCGGGCUCGCGCCGCGGUCGGGGGCUCUCGGGUCUCUGACUCCUGCUCCGGGAUAGAAAUCUCUGCGUCUGUCAGCCGCCCCACAUGUUUGCCCAGAACCGUCUUUGAUGGAAUCACAACACGAUUCCUGCUCUCGCUUGACCCGUCAGAGCCCUGGGGCAGCCUCCGCAGGCCCUAGUGCCUCGCGUGGAAACCCUGGCCUCGGCGAGGCUCCCCUUGCAAACUGGAACACCCCUGCGCGUCCUCAGGCCCAGGGGCUGGGGAUCGCCGGGGCUGCCCCUCCGCCCCUCACCUCCAGCUGUCACCCGCGAUGUCCCAGCCUGCCGGGGGGUCCCAUUCCUGACGCCGGUCCCUCCCCUCACCUCCUGAGCUGCGGAGAAGUACCCUGCGGACAGGAGGGUCGAAAGGCCCCUGGUUCUCAGGCUGGCAGGAGGAGGCCUGCCAUGGGGUGUGGGGGAAGACGUCCUCUCUGCCGGCAAGACAGAGCUCUGAGCCCAGCCUGGUGGCAAGGAGACUCUGGCCUCUGCGCGCGCAGCCCCUGAGCCCCUCCCAGGUGCCCCCACUGUCCUCGCGGGAGCGUCCCCCAGCCUCAGUUUCCCGAUCUGUAAAAGCCGGAGUGGCCUGUACAUACUAGGCCCCCAGAGGGUCGUCGUCGUGAAGGCAUCUGAUUUCCCUCACUUCCAGGCCGGCAGCAGAAGGGACUGGGCCUGGGGGGAGGGGUCCUUUGUGAUCAGAGACCUUGGGUCGACUCUGGACUCACAGCAGCCACGGCCAGCGGAAUGUGACCAGAGCCCUGCAGGAAGGGCAGGGGCAGGGGAGCUCCAGAGAGUGUCCCCAGGCCGCGCCGAGGCCUGCCGCAGGCUACGUGGCAGCGGCCCGGCCCAGCCCCCACCUGCCUCGCUUACUCAUUCACUCUUGCUUCAUCAAACAUUCACAGAGGGGCCGUGAGGGGCUCCACAUGGAUUAAGCCCGAAGAUAACGACACUGAGCCAAAAGGUCUGCUUCUGCCUCCCCCGGCCCCUCGCGCUUGCCGGAGACGGCCAGCGAGCCCUUGAGCACAAACAAACAGGCAGUUAUCCAUUAAGAAUGGGGGGUGGGGUGUGGGGUUCUCAGCGGCCCAGUCUGCGGUAGCGACAUUUCAGCCAAGACCCAGAGGGUGCGUCUUUCCCUGUCUGGGGUUAGGCAAGAGGGUCUGGGGAGCUUGGCUUGUUUCAGAUGAUACCCGGGGACAGUGGAGGAGCCGCCGUGACUCGGUUAGACCCACCGCUCAAGGGCACCAUGGGCUUGGUGACCCUGGGCCCUAGCCUGAACCUUUCAGGCCUCAGGUGGAUCAUAUAUAAAACAAGAGUGAUAAUACUCCUGCAUCAAAAGCUGCCCCGAUGGGCAGAUUAGUGAAACCGUGUUUAGAAUGCGCAGCGCCUGGCUGAGGGGAGUCCAGUACUCUGGUUCUCGGAAGACUAUUCCUUACCUCAGAGCACGUGCGGGGCCCGUAAGUUUUCCCUUCGCCCAGAUGGCAGUGCCCGGCCUCCCUGGGAGCACCUGGCUGCCCGGGGAGCGCAGACCAGGCCCGCAGAGAGAGCGGGGACUGGCCUGCCCAGCUCCUGCUGGCCCCCGGGCCUGCACGGGGCCUGGGGUGCUCAUGCACCCCCUUCCUGGCUGGAGAAGAGAGGCGUCCACCUUCCGCUUGCAGGACAUCGUGCCGAAUGUUCUCAAAGCUUCUCAAAGCUCUGACAGCCUGGCUCCUGCACGAACCAGCCCUGGGGGCCGAAGUUAUAGACUGGACCUGCCCCCUUGCCCUUAGCUGAGUAUGUGUGUGUGUAUGUGUGUGUGAAGGCCGGGGGCUGAGCAGGGGAUACUUAGAAGCCUCCAGAAACAUGAAAGGCAAGCUCCUUCCAGGCUUUGGGGGUUGGCCCAGCCUGGACCACAUGGGGGUCUUUGUGAAGCCCCAUAUCCCAUCAAGGUAGCCUGAGGCCAGGAAGGUUGGCUGACCCCACCCCUCCCCCUAGAACUUUCAGGGGAUCCCCAUUCUUCAUCUGCAGUUACCCCAGCUCCAAGAACCCAUCCUCUCCGUGAGGGUGAGGAGGGAGCUCGACUAAGGUCACAUAGCUGGAGGCAGACGGAGCUGGGUGGGCUGGUGGGGAGACAGGAAGUCCUGGGAGUCCUGGCUCGCCUCGCGGUCCCCAGAGGACGGCCCCCGGGCUGCCCCCCCCCCCCCCGGCGGUUCCCUGAAGCCCCGCUUCUACCCCCCAGGGAGCUCACUUGCUUCCUUCUGCUCCACUCUUCAUGAGACGUCAGCGAUAUAAAAGGACUUUCUUUCUCUGCCCUGCUAGUAUUCAGAAAUGGAGCUGUUGUCCAAGAAUGCUCUCACAAGAAGGCAAUCCUGCCGAUGGUGACCGCACGGGUGAAUAGGGGGGGGGGGGACACUGAAAUAAGCGACGCAGGAGGACACGGGGCGACACCAGUUACAUGACGUGUCCAGAGCCGUCAGACCGCAGCGGGCGAAGGCCUCGGAGGUGGCAGGUGGGCUGGGGGCCAGUCCCCCCGACCCCUGCGCAGAGGGUCAGCCCUGCAGGAUGCGUGGGUCCGGCGCGGGGGACUCCAGAGAGCGGCACUGCACAGUGUCGUCCACAGGCUGCUGGGAGGGCAGGUCUGGGGGAAGUGCCCGUCUAAAAUAGUAAUGAUGCUGACGAUAACAGUGCCAGUGAGAGCGGCAGCGAGACGGAACUUGGGGAGCUCACGGUCGCUUUAGGGCGGAGAACGCGGGGACCGCCUCAUGGGUGCGCGCUUCUCCCCAAACUUCACCUGCGGACACGUUACUGACGUACAGAUCUGGUCGGUCAGUCGUACCGCAAUGAAGCAGCUUCAAAAGGGAAACGAAAAGCAAAACAAAAAAUUCUCACAGAAACUUUGCUGUGAGAGGCUCAUUUAAAGUGAUCCCCUUCUGGAUGAAGGCGCCCAGAGCCGCCCUAACAGAGCCGGAGCCCCACGGAUGGCCACACCUCUUCCCUCCACGAGAACCCCAAAACCCCGCUAAAAAUCGGCUUUGAAGAUCCAAGCCCGAGCAGCAUCACACCAAGAACGCGCGUGGACACCAGGCAGCCUGGGGGGUCUCCAGGGAGCCGUGUGGGGCGCGAGCCCGUCGUAGGAGGUCCUACAGCCUCGGUCCACUUACAGAGUGUUCUCGUCAGGACAGACUCGAAAUGCAGAACAGAUGGGUGGCUGCCGGGGGUUGAGGACACGGCCGGGUGGGAGGGAGUGCUUACGGCUGAAGGGGUGACAUGAGAGACUGUGCGGGUGACAGGAGCGGCCCUGGGUCACUGUCUGGAUCCUGCUGAUCCUGCUGGCGAUCUGAGCCUGUGGUCUGCAAGAUGUCGGGGGGGGGGGGCGGUGCGCGGGUAAAGGACACGUGGCAUCAAUUAUCCCUGAUUGCAUGUGAAUCUGCAGUUAUCUCAAAAUAAAAAGUCUAAUUAAGAAAAUCAUGAUCCCCAUGCUAAAAACAUCAACAGUCCUAAAAAUACCCAAUAAUGAAUUUUAAAAUGUACAGAAUCCGUACAAAGGGCUGAAAAAUAUUGAGGGAUAUUACAGCUGUCUUGAACACAGAGAUAAACUUGCAUGUGGCUAGAAAGGCUGUUUCUAUAAAAAAAGAUGUAUUCUAAGUUCAUCUAAAUCGAUCGUAGCUUCCAUAGAAAAUACCAAGAGAAUGGAGAGGGUCACACACACGGGUACAUGCUUUUUUAAAAAAUCAGACAUGUCGAUUCCAAAGUCUGUAAGAUUCUGAAAAGGCAUCACCUGGAGCUCCCUGGGGCAGCCUGACCCCUACCCCCCCCCCCCCCCCCGGGCUCUAGAGGGGCCACGGGUUUUAAAGAGCACCUGUCCUCUCAGACGGGGUCAUGCGCGUGCAUAGUGCUGCUUUCUGCAGCCGAGCCUCCUGGUUCAGGCUCCCUCCCCAGCGGCCUUGGCAGUACCUGCAGCCAGGGGCCUAAAGCUGGGAAGGGCGCACACCAGCCGUGGCCGGCACUGGAGCUUUCCUGUGUGCUUUGCGCCAGGGUCCCUUCUAUCCCCCGAGCAGUGCCCUGGAAGGCACGCUCUCUCGUCAUCCCCGUUUUACAGAUGGGGAGCCCGAGACCCUGGCCAAGGGUUUGAACUUGGGCUGUGGCUCCAGAUCUGCCUGGAUCUGCCUGUAAGCGUGACCUCUUAUUCCCGACUCAGUAAAGGACAAUGCCAGGCAGGGGCGCAGGGGGACAGGGGACGAGGGGCAGCCUUCCUCUGGGCUGGUUUCAUCAGGACAAGGCUGGAAGGCUGCACUGGGUCUGGGAGCCCAGACCGGACAAGGAGAUGGUUCCUACUCUGCAGGGUGGGACGUGGAGACCUGCUGGCCAGCACGGUUGUCACAGCACCCCAGCCCUCGGGCUGUGUGAGCGAGCCCAGGAAGAAGCUCGCACUCCAGCUCCUUGACAUUCCUAGUUACCCAGGCGAGGGCUCAGCCCCAAACCCUCGGCUUCCUGUUAACUCUAGAGCUAAUCCUGCGUCUCCAUCUGAAGAACGUUCUGAUCCAAGGCCAUACCAUGGAUUCCCUGGUCGGCGGCACCAGGUGGCUUUCCUUCCAGUAAUAGGAAUGGGGGGAGCCCGGCCCCACUGGCAAGUGCAUCGUACAAUUCCCAAGUCAGACCCCCACGCCUGGCCUAUCCCCGGGCCCAUCGGCCGUCCAGGAGGCCGUCUACAAGCAGACACAGAGGACAGGAGAGUCUGAUCAGUCCGUGGAGAGAAGGUGAUGUGCUGUAGCGACUCAUGCUGAGACCACCAGGUAGACGCACAGGAAACACACCGCAUUUAGUGAUUUCUUACACCAAACCCAGAGGAAGCUCUAUUUACAUGUAAAAAAGGUGGAGCACAGAGAGCAGAAGGAAACAGGAGCGAAUCCACGAAAACAGUCUCACAACGAGGACGUUUUUUCAAAAUGUACAGCCAGGACCGACCCCAAGUCACAAAAGAUUGCCAAAGUUCACAUCAAAAUUUAAAAUUCCCACCCGCAGAAAAACAUUAUAGAGACUAAAAGACGAGAGAAAAAUGGGCGCAAAAUAUGUUUGACACAUGCUGACUACCUAUAAAGCAGUAAGAGGCCUUCAAGAGCCGAGAGUAUGGGAAGAUGGAACCCAGAACAAAGAGACAUGUUGUUCGUUAUCGGAAAAGAUAAAGCCCUCAUUCAUAAUAGAAGACACUGACAUCAGAAUCCAGCAGGGCAUUCUCGUCCAGCCGAUGAAUGCAGAUAAAAGCCGGGACUUGGUCUGCUGGGGACGGUGUGGGCGGGGGCGCAGGACACACUGGGCCACGCUCAUGGCCAUGGCCGCACGGAGCUGCCUUCACGGGCGUGAGGGCGCACGGAGCCACGUUCACGGGUGUACGGACGUAUGGGGCCGCUGUCGUGGGCACACGGGCUGCUGUCACGGAUGCAUGGACACACGGAGCCGUUUUCAUGGGCAUAAGUACAGACAGGGCCGCUGUCAACGGGCUCAUGGGCCCCUGUCACGGGCACAAGGACACGGAGCGGCUCUCAUGGGCAUAAGGCCGUGCGGGUCACUGUCACACGAUGCUGCACCCAGGGGCCUGCCUCUGGUUUCCUACUUCAUUCGCUGUGCCCUGAGCCGCCCAUGUCGGCGUACCGGCCUGGAUGGUCUCUCCGCCUGGGGACGUGUUUACCUCUGCUCCGUCUCUGCUGGAGUCUUUGGUUUCACUUCCCGGGACCUCAUGAAGUCUCACAUCAUGGCGAGACUCCCAGUUCCCCUCGAUAGUGGAUUCAUUUUGUAGCGUCCUUGUUCGGUGCGGGGCAGCCUAGAAAGAGACCUUGCAGACAGAGCUGGAGCUGGGGUGAGCCCCGGGAGGAGACGGACAGUGUUCGGUGGCGAGAGAUGCGCGAACUUCGCAACUGGGCGGUUCCUUAGUGAACCUCCGAGGGGUUAACGGCGGGCUUCCGCGGCCCCGUACGCCCAUCGAUGGGGGCUGCUCGGCACUCGCGGGACAGUGGAACGUCCGCAGCUGUCAGUGAGAGGGAGAUGCGCUCCGCGUCUUACUCCAGACCCAGCCAGAACACCCGGCCAUCUUGCCUUUGAGCAGUGCGCGCUGGGGCCACAUGCCGACCAAGAAAUGAGUGGUGGACUUGCUUGAAGCAGGACGCCCAUGGUGAGGUGUGCAGCUCGGCAGGGUGGCCAGGGCUCUGUCCUCUUGGGGACACUCUGUGUCCCUGCUGGUCUCCCGCCAGCUGCAGGGAAGUCAUGCCGCCCUCCACCCGACCCGGCGUCCCUCAGGGGCCCACCCUGCAUGUGAGGAUGGAAAGCUCGCUGACCAGCGCCACCACCCGUCCCCCCAGCCCGACUCCUCAGCCUCCUGACGGCCCUCCCAGCCCACCAUCUGCAUGCCUCCUCUCGGGCAGGAGGGGCGUCCGUGUUCACCGGCCUUGAACCGAUGCCGCAGGGACCAGAGCCCCCAUAAGCACAGCCCCGCGCGGGGGCAGCCCAUGGCAGUGGGCUGAGAGCUGUGGCCACGCACACCGAUCCUGGAAGCAGCAGCUCGGGACCGCAGUGCGCCGGACCCCAGGGCAUGGGACCCAGUGCGCGGGACCCAGCAAGUGCAUGUGCGCCCACGUGCCUGUGCGCACGAACACUUGAUGAAAGUGCUUCUCGGGGGUGCCACCCUGUGUGCGUCCACCUCGUCUGGGCAGCCUCAAAAGAUGUGGGGCACACUUGGCCAUCUGCUCCAGGAAGGGGAACUGCAAACAGACACGCACACCAUGCGGUUGUGCGUGGCAAUCGGUGGUCCACGUCAGGAGAGGCGUACAGACCCCCUCCCUCGUGUAAGAGCUGUCGGAGGAACGGAGCGGAGACCGCGAACCGUGCUCAGCUCUAGGGCAGGAAACAUGGGAAUCCGGCGCCGGGCGGGACAGCCUGAAUUUUCAGGACGGCCUCUUGUGGGCUCUGAUUGUGCUCUGCCGUGCGCGCGUGUGUAAAGCCUGGUUUAGUGGGAUUAGUACUGGUUGUGCGCGAUCGCGAGAGGUAAGGCCUGGUGCGGCGUGCGGGUGCUGGCCGGGCAGUGAGCAGGCAGCCCUGCGCCGGGGGCUGGGGCGCCUGGCUAAGAGGCCGCCCCACCGCCCGCUGCUGUGGGCUCUGGUUCAUGUCAGUCCGAGGAACAGGGGCUGCUCCCGCACAAAGAGGUUUUUGACAGCACAAGGCAGAACCAGAGGGAGAGCAGACCCCAGGCAGGCUCCCAGGGAGCCCACCCCCACUCGAAUGGGAAGGGGUGCCCUCCAGCCCUCUGCAGAGCCCCAGGCUCUCCUCGAAACGAGAUGCUGCGUGGGCUCUGUCCCGCGGGCUCGGGAGAGGAGUGAUUCUUCCAGAAACCAGCGAGUACGUGUAGGGCGCGCUCUGGCCACGGCGUCUCUGGAAAACUCUCGAGUUUUAUGUAACUCGUUCCCGGCUUCAGGGGACUGUUGACUUUGAUUCGCGCGGCCAUGACAACACAGCCUGUUUUCCAAUUGAUCUGCCCCACGUCUGGGUUCACUGAAGUAUUUCCUAGCGCACAGUCACAUUUUAAACUUUUUUUUUUUUUUUUUUUUUUUUUGGAAAAAGGAAAGAAUAAAGCUGGAACGCGGACCUAUCUCACCACCCUGCCUUUCUUUUCUGCUAAAAUUUGGCUUUGGGAGGAGCAAGUGAUCCCCGCUUCUGAAAUGGCACUGGCCAGGCACCUCUUGGAACCUGCGUUCUCUGGGGAAGCGACACAAUGUUGACCGAGGAGCCCCCACCCCACCCCGGGCACUCCUCGACCGGGCACUGCCCCCACGGGGGCAAGGGGGCCUUGACGAUGAGGUCGCUGGCCCGCUCGGGACAUGUCCGCACCCGGCCUCCGCAGGGGCUCUGGCCUGGGCAUCCCCGUCCCCCACCUGGGCGUGGGGAGGCCAACACGUGCCGCCGGCAGAGCGGCUGGGCGGGAAGCGGGCAGCCCAGUGCCCGCCACUGUGAGAGGAAACGAAGAGAAACCGCUCCAGUCAGCCCCACAAGCAGGCCUGGAGACUGCAGCCCAGGCGAACACAAAGGACUUUUCAGACUCUGCGGCCGAGGCGUCCGGUGAGCGGCCGAGGCGCCCGGUGAGCGACCGAGGGGCCCAGUGAGCGUUUUUUUUUUCUUUUUCUUUAUUUUCCCUUUCUUUCCUUUUUCUUUCUUUCUUUUUUUUUUUUUUUUUUUUUUUCCAACAGCUAUUAGGGUGACAAGCCUUUCCAAAGGCCGGCCGUUGGUGAGGGUUUCCAGGAAGCUGGUCUGGCACCAGGCUAGGGUUGGAGCAACUUUAACAGAGUUAACUUCAGAAGGAAAGAAUUGUCAGGGAAGGUUUAAGGCUCAGCAAACUUUUUGAAUUAUUUUGCAAAAAAGUCCUGGCUUUCAAAUUCAAAGCCGUGUUUAGCCGUGACUGUGGGAAGCCAGAGCUUAUUUCAAAAGACGCUGCUGCUGGCACAUUACUGAGCCCUCCCCUCCAGGUAUCUGCCGAGACUCCCCAGGCCAGGCCCUGCGAGGGCCAUCCGGUGCCUGGAAACACGGGGGUCACCUUCCACGUCCCCCCAGCACCCCUCCACCCACGGGCCUCUCCCGCCUCCGGCCCCCGGGGCUGUGUGCACACACCCGCACACGAGCACACCUUCCCCAAGCAGGAAGCCGCCCUCUGCCAAGAGCGCAUGGAAUUCAGAUUUCCAGAGAGUGUCCUUGGCCUCCAGCUCCACAGCCACACACUGAAGAAAGGUCCUAGUGUGUGUGGCGGGGGCGAGAGAGAGGGGCCUCCAUCUCGGCUCCCGUCUCUCUGGGCCCCAAGAAAAACCCACAGCUGGCUGCGCUCGCCUCAGCCGCACCCGCCUCAGUCGCAUUCCUUCCCUUCCUGAGCCCACGCUGGGUGGCCCCACAGCCCCGCUUCGACACCUCCCUCCCCACCCGCGGGGAGACCGGGGCCAGGCCCGCGCGGGGCAGCUGGCAAGCACACGUGAGGGGGCCGCACCCCAGGCCCACGGUGGCCGGAAACCACCGAGGGGCCCAAGGGGCUGGGCAUCCCAGCCGUGGCCUCAGCUGGCGGGAGCAGAGAGGGCGCCGGGCCCCCGGCAGCCCACCCCAGGCCGAGCGCCUCUCCAUAUCCCACCUGCAGACGAUCCCCACACCCCCGGAGGGAGCACUGCCCCCUGCACCCGUGACCCCCACCCCCAUCCACACCGGGCCGUCUGGGCCCUGAGAUCUGGCAUCCGGGGGAGUUAAACAUUGACAGGCAGAGACCGACAGCGGCCCAGUAAAUGAGACAAGUCCAUGAUCAGCCACACACGGUGGACAGGCUGGUCACGCUUAGCUUCUCUUUGACCCCAGUCACUGGGACCUUGCCACCUGCAUGGCCGGGGAGCAGCAGGUGGGAAGCGCGAGCCUCCCGCAGGCCAUCGGAGUCACGGAGGCCCGUGCGCAGCAGGAGUUAGGGCUCCUCCUGUGCUCGGCACUCAGGGCGGCCUGGCCCAGAAAGGGGGGUUGCUCCAGGGCCUGGCCGGUCUCCCCGGGGAGGAGCCUGUGGCUUUGCCGCCCAGGCCUCUGGGCCUGCAGCCCCGGGGACAACUCUGAGCGCACCGGCUGGUGGCCACCCUGCCCUGUUCCUGCUGGCUGGGGUCUCCUGUCGUGGCCGGAGAGGCCGAUUUCCCUGUCCCUUCUGGACAGCUUGGACCUCAGGGCUCGUUGUUCCUGUGAUGCCUCAACUCCACCGGCCUCUCCUUCCGAGUGUGGCCCACAGUGGACUGAACUGGGGGGGGGGGGGGAUGCUCUUCCUGUGUCCCUUGGUGGGGGGCCUGGUGUGAUAGAAACAGCAGGGUAAGGAGCAGGCCACAGCCAUGACCAAGGCCUCAAGGACAUGCUCCCGCUGCCUAGUAGCCAGGGGCCUGGGGCUGGUGCGGGCUGCAGUACAGGUCCCACUAGGACAGAUGGCCCCCACUGGAACCAAAGGAGCAGGCUCCAGGAGUCCCAUGGCCUGGUCCCAGCUGCCCGCACCUGGCAUGGCUUCUGGGCAGGGUCCCCUCAUCUCUGCUGUCGGCCCCGUGUCCCAGGCUGUCCAUCUCCCAACAGCCACAGAAGAGUUUCCCACCCCACCCACCAGCCCCCGGCCUGAUGCAGCCCACUUCCAGCACAAGACAGGGGUAGAUGGUAGAGAGCUGCCGCGGGCUGUGGGGGUCCCCAGGGAGGACACUCCAGUGAUGUCCUCUGAACCCGGUGGAUGGCCCCACCCCAGUCCCUACACACACACCAGCCAGGGUUCAGUCACGCCGGGAGCCCGUUUUCAGGGGUGUCCCUCCACCUGAGGCUGCCCCCACCUUGGAGUCUGGCCCCCUGUUCUUGCUGUGGUCUUGCCCCGCCGUCCGGGCCCCGUGAGCCCCCACCUGGAGCCCACCGGCUCGGCUGGGGGUUCCAUGGGGUAGCUCAAGAAAAGAAAAAAAAAAAUUCUAGUGUUUUAAACUGGAAAAGGUUCCAUUUGCUCCAACAGAUUCCGAACCUGAGGCCGACGCAAACGCAAGACCGCUGCCGGCAGGCCCGGAAGUAGGGAAGGAAGGAGAAUGGCCCCUGGGCCGCCGGACACGGGGGGACGAGACGACACAGGCCCACAGCAGCCUGGGCAGGGCCAGGCAGACAAGCAGGUUAAAAGGCUCGAAGCUAAAGGUCCAGCGUGACCUUACCUUGCACUUUAUCCCCUAGAUACGGAGCCUGGCUACCGGAGCAGUGGCGGGGGGCCUGGGGUCGGCGGCUGGGAGCUGCCUGCCUCCUGUCCAGGGGCUGGGCUCUGUGGGCGGCGGGUCCACAGCCAGGGCUGUGGGGGUGGGCCCUGAGCGCUCUCUCUUGGAAUAGCCUCACCCCCUGCAUCUUCCCCAUGUCCUCUCCUGCCUGUGACGUAACCCCAACCUCUGCCUCAGUUUCCCCAGCAGGGCCCCGUAGGACAGCGUUGUGGCGAGUGUUAGACUUUGGAAGGCACAGCCUAGUCGGAUCUUACGUGAUGGUUCGGUCCCAAAGCCCAAUCAGGUAGAGUCAAAAUGACCUUUGAAGAUCACUUGAACUGCCUCUUAAAAAUCGCUUCCCGGAGCUGUGCGACAUCCCCGCGGAGCUCCGCCCAGUGGCCUGCGCCCACCGAAGCAGAGCAGCUCUGGGCACAUCCGGAGGGCGUCCCCGCUCCAGGCCAGCCUGCUCCCCAGUGUCUUUCGAGGGACUGCCUCGGGCUGCUGGGGUGGGCAAAGCAGACGUGGGCCCAGGGGAAGGGCGUUGGGGCCCCAGGGACGCUGGGGACACCGGGCUCUGGGGCCAGACUCUGUCCCUCUCCCUUUGCUUCCCUUUCUUCCCUUCCCAGAUAGUGCCCCAGGCCUCGCGUGAGCCAACCGGACCCGAAAUGGCCGAACUGUCAGACCUCUGCCCAGGAGACAGUCCUUGCCAAGGACCAGCAACUGGGGUGGCCUGUGCCCAGGACACCCACCCAGCCCCAAGAGGCCUGGCCCACGUAAAGGACGACCGCCUGGCCGGGGGCUCUGGGCCACCCCCAGAAGCCGGAAGCUCGGCCCGCCGCCCUGUGUCUCACGCAUGCAAGUCGGCCUCACCCAGGAGACCUGGGAGCCCCCGAGCGGCCUGCGGGUCGAUGAGGCCCCCUGCACUCCAUGCACCAUGCGGUCAGGUCCCCGGUGUGUGCAGAGUCCACUGGGCAGAGUUCCUGGAGGAGGCGGCCACAGAGAGACUCCAACCAAAGCGCACACUCUCCAUCCACAAGAUGCUCUCUCCAGCCGAUGGGCCGCAGAAACACUGGGGGAGGCGAAGACUCAAGCCAGAUGCCAGGCCCCUCGGCCUCCACUGGCUGGUGACCUCCCUGCCCCUGCAUGCCCUCCGGGAGGCCUGGCUUCCCCCUCACAGCCUCGGGCUCCCCAGGAGAACGUGCGUCUGCGACAGAGCCCCAGCUCGGCCUCUGCCUCUUGGGACAAGGCGAGGCUCGGCCCUCCUGUGCAGCACUCUCCGACCCGCCGUGACAGCUGUGGGUCCCAGCCAACGGCAGCCCCCCACCAAGUGUGACACAGACACGUAGCCUCUGGGGACAGGAGCGCCCGGUGGCCAGCAAGCCUGGAAACAUGGCCGUCCUGGCUGGGCUGCCUGGGGAGCGGCCCCAGAGAAUGGGGCCACGGCCAUGCCUCCAUGUCCUUGUUCACACGGGGCCACGGGCAGGCAGGAUGCCCGGCCCACACCGCCCCUCACUCUGCUGGCAGCUGUGGCUGCCUUGGCGGGUAGGCCCGAAGGCGUACGGUGAGAAUGAUGGCAGAAGCACAUCGGGGCACGUGUGGCCACCCCAGAGAGCGGGACGGAAGCCCAGGUCUCUCCCUGUACCUCCCUGGGAGCUGGCCCCUUCCGUCACCACUGGAGGCUGUGGGCAGUCCCCUACUGCGGCCUGCGUUGGGGACAGGAACUCAAGGCUGCACAUGGACCCCAUCCACAUCCCACGGAGACCUGCGACCUGGCGCUUUCAGAAGCUCUCAGUGAAGUACAGGGUCCCCCCAAGUGAGGUAUUGCAUUGGCUAACGCAGUUCUCGGAUCCGGGCCGGGCCAGACCCCCGACCCCACAGCCUCCACGGCUCACACCUGCACCAUGAGGCCCAUCUCCAGGGUCCACAAGAGGACGCCGAGGCUCGGAGAGGUGACUUGACUGCCGCAGUGCCCUCCAGGCCGAACAGAUACACGCUGGCCGGGGUUUCCGGGAAGAUAGCGUCUCCGGGCGUGGCGAACACCUGAGCACCAGUCAGUGGGACGUAAGGGUCAGAUCGGCCACGUGUGACCACAGUGCCAAAGCCUGCGGGACACGUAACUGCCUCCCACCCCCUCUGCCCCCUGCAAGACCCCCGCGCACACACCAGGGCACGGGCCUCUGUCCCCUGUGCUGGGUCCACAGGGCUGGGUGACCUGUAGGAGCCUCGACAUGGCCCCGAGCUGCUGGAGCCAAGUUUACUCAGGGGCACCGAUCACCAGAAGCACCCAUCACCAGGAGCACCGGUGAAGACCCGAGGACCAUACCGGACACCUUGCCCCCCAGCCCCCCAGCAGUGGGUUCGCACCCCGCCACCACCUCUGGAUGGGGCUGCCGGGAGAAGCCCUUGUACGUUCUGGCACGGGGACCUGGCCGAGGACUGGGGUAGAGGCCCAGGCGGCAGUGGAGCUGACUGAAGACCCCUUCCCCAAGCCAGCCCCCACACUCGGGGGGCUGGCCUGAGAAAGCCCGCAGCCAGCCAGCGGCAAGCACGGGGCUCCGUGCUCCUCCAUUCUGACCGCCACAGUCCUGGAGGAGAAACGGCCAAGCGUUCCCGGAGAUCUGGCUUCUGCUGGCCUGGACUUCCUCUCAGGGCUCCCCGAGCAGGUGGGUGGCCUGUGGCCCCCAGACGGUGUGUGCCGACACCAGGGCUGACGGCCCUCACCGCCAAAGGGGUGAUACCUGUUGGGGGCAGCCGUGAGCUUGUCUGGGGGGCGGCUCAGUCCCGAGCCUUUUGUCAGCCUUACCCUGGGCCGCCCCAUGAGGGUCUCGCAGGGUCAGGGAGCUGGUGAGGCCUCACCACCCAGCUGCGUUGAUGGAGGGUGGCAGCCCUGUCCUUCCCUGGUGGGACUCCGUGUGUGUGUAUUCGAGGGGCUGAGCCAUGGCCGAGAGGGUAAAGGAGAGGGGUCAGGGGACAGGACGGGACAGCAGGCCCAGGGAGGCCUGGAGACGGACCCCUGCCUGAGGGUCAUGGGUCCCAGCAGGCUCUGAGUGGGCACUGCACCUGUGUGGCACACGACCUCAGCCGCAGAACUCCAACCGUGACCACUCUGUGGUCUCCCGUGCCCUGGGCUCUGGGAAGGCCGGAGCCGAAGCGGUGAGUCGGCGUUCUGCCUGCGGGCACCGGCCCGUCCCUGGCUUCACACCGCCCUCCCGCGCACUAACGCAGUGAGCCUGCCUGGUCGUCUCCAGGACGGGUGUGGGCCCAGCAGCCCACUCAGGGCCCGGGUCCACAAGGACGAGUUGCCCCUGCUUCCUAGUGAGCCGGCCGGCUUCUUCCAAGCCGGGGAGCACUUACUGGAGGCCCCCUGCCAGCCACAGGGCGCUGCCCACCUGCCUAUGAGCCUGGGGGCCCUGGAAAGCUGGCCGGCGGGUCCUGCCCGAUCACAACACCAGCCCGAGACGGUCCCGUCUUGCUCGCAUUCUGGCUAUGCGACUCUACCAGUCCUGCCCCAGCAGCCAGGAUGCCCCGGGACCGGGAUCCCCGAUUCCUCGGUCACCUGCAGGUCAAUGGCCCAGGGCCUCACCCCGGCCGAGGCGCGUGCACGGCUCACGACAACACCGAGACCCAGGAGGAACGCCGACGGCCUGCCGAGACCGCCCCGUGUCCGCGGGCAGAGGAGCCCGGUCAGCCUGCGAGCCUGGGACUGGCCGAGAGGAGCGCACAUCCCGACACGGAGGGCCUCACCCAGGGGAAUCCCCCCAAGGGCAGUGUCUGGAACCGACCCGAGUGCCCGACGGACCCGACGGCUCGUCGUCCACACUGGGUGCCCUGCCGGGAGCACUGACUCCCCUCGCGAGGGAUCGCAGCGUGGCCGGGCCCCGGGGAUCGGCCUGGCAGGGCAGCAAGGCGGGGGCGGACGGGCGUGCGUCCCAGGCCAGCUGUGCCUCGGGGGACGGCCAACUGGAAGGCGUGGAAAAUCAGCCAUUUCCUCCACCUGAAGGAGCCCCUGAGGACAGCAGCGCGACUGGCAGGCGGCACUCGGCAUCUGCCCGCGGCGGCUCUGGGGUUCUAGGGGGAAACACCGAGAAACAAAGUCGUCUCUCUUUUGGGGGGUGGGGGAGGGGCCAGGGGAGAGAGAAGCAACCUGCUCGGACGCUCAAGGCACAGAAACAAGUGGAAAAUGAUCAGUUCAGUUUUCCAUAAGUCAGAACAAGAGGAUCGUGUUCCCAGACUUGGCGGGAAAUGGCCCCAUGUGCCUCCCGCACCCAUCACUCGGGGCCCGGGCACUGGGUGCGGCCCCUGGCAGCAGGGGGCCCCAGGUCACUGAGGGCAGCUGGCGAGUGGAGGCCCCCGG
Molecule: long non-coding RNA, 17269 nt
Organism: Mustela lutreola (European mink)
Lineage: Eukaryota; Metazoa; Chordata; Mammalia; Carnivora; Mustelidae
Exons: 3
Source: RefSeq, a predicted model, not a curated record